RNAcentral lists this ribosomal RNA (253 nucleotides) under uncultured bacterium. RNAcentral's name for it is "partial 16S ribosomal RNA". It matches the Rfam family "Bacterial small subunit ribosomal RNA", at positions 524 to 776 of the family's 1533-position model. The record is from RNAcentral.
UACGUAGGGUGCAAGCGUUAAUCGGAAUUACUGGGCGUAAAGCGUGCGCAGGCGGUGAUGUAAGACAGAUGUGAAAUCCCCGGGCUCAACCUGGGAACUGCAUUUGUGACUGCAUCGCUAGAGUACGGCAGAGGGGGAUGGAAUUCCGCGUGUAGCAGUGAAAUGCGUAGAUAUGCGGAGGAACACCGAUGGCGAAGGCAGCCUCCUGGGCCAAUACUGACGCUCAUGCACGAAAGCGUGGGGAGCAAACAGG